GAGCAUGGCGUGCACCCGAGAGACCAGGGGACCCUAGAUUGGUGGCAGGCCAGCGAACUAUUUUCUUAUUGCAAGAAAUACAUAUGACUGUAAAGAUUUGGACGGCGAUACCCCCGCAGCACCUGAUUUCGAGUCCAGCUCGCCCCCGCGUCCACAUGUAUCGUGCGCAUGUACGCGAACAGGACUCGUAAUCUCGUAAUGUGCAUUGCACGGGCGCUCGUGUUGUGGUACAGAUGCUGAGAUAUAGUAAGAACUCCCACCCAUAUCCUCUGUAUUCUGAUCUAACGGUCUUAUCUGUUACAAUUUAAAUUGUGAUGUGUCUUGAAGAUCCUCUUAGGCCCAGCUUUUGUAUAUUCUAUUAAUAACUAGCACUUUUCUUUCAAUACUUUACAAUUUCUUACACAGUUGUUGGAAGGCGCCAUUUUACAUUCAGUUCGAAUGGGCACGUAUUCUCGCGAGUACUUGCUUGGAAAGGGUCACGAUUAAGGCAUGCAUGCUAGUAGCAGAAAGGAUGCUUGUCUUUGAGGUUCAAUACAAUUAUUAAAUUAUAGGACUAUUAUAUUUUAUUCUAUUCAAAGAAUCAGGAAGUUGUGGAAUGUCAAUUAAAUAUUUGAUAUGAAUCACAUCUA
Molecule: non-coding RNA, 629 nt
Organism: Salvelinus sp. IW2-2015
Lineage: Eukaryota; Metazoa; Chordata; Actinopteri; Salmoniformes; Salmonidae
Source: RefSeq, a predicted model, not a curated record